AGGAAUCUGCCUAUUAGUGGGGGACAACAUCUCGAAAGGGAUGCUAAUACCGCAUACGUCCUACGGGAGAAAGCAGGGGACCUUCGGGCCUUGCGCUAAUAGAUGAGCCUAAGUCGGAUUAGCUAGUUGGUGGGGUAAAGGCCUACCAAGGCGACGAUCUGUAGCGGGUCUGAGAGGAUGAUCCGCCACACUGGGACUGAGACACGGCCCAGACUCCUACGGGAGGCAGCAGUGGGGAAUAUUGGACAAUGGGGGGAACCCUGAUCCAGCCAUGCCGCGUGUGUGAAGAAGGCCUUUUGGUUGUAAAGCACUUUAAGCGAGGAGGAGGCUACCGAGAUUAAUACUCUUGGAUAGUGGACGUUACUCGCAGAAUAAGCACCGGCUAACUCUGUGCCAGCAGCCGCGGUAAUACAGAGGGUGCAAGCGUUAAUCGGAUUUACUGGGCGUAAAGCGCGCGUAGGUGGCCAAUUAAGUCAAAUGUGAAAUCCCCGAGCUUAACUUGGGAAUUGCAUUCGAUACUGGUUGGCUAGAGUAUGGGAGAGGAUGGUAGAAUUCCAGGU
This 560-nucleotide ribosomal RNA is filed under the name uncultured bacterium. RNAcentral describes it as "bacterial SSU rRNA". It matches the Rfam family "Bacterial small subunit ribosomal RNA", at positions 119 to 674 of the family's 1533-position model. The record is from RNAcentral.